UACGUAGGGUGCGAGCGUUAAUCGGAAUUACUGGGCGUAAAGCGUGCGCAGGCGGUUCGUUGUGUCGGUGGUGAAAUCCCCGGGCUUAACCUGGGAAUGGCCAUGGAAACUGGCGAACUGGAGUGUGGCAGAGGGGGGUGGAAUUCCGCGUGUAGCAGUGAAAUGCGUAGAUAUCUGGAGGAACACCGGUGGCGAAGGCGGCAUCCUGGACCGGUAUUGACGCUGAGGCGCGAAAGCCAGGGGAGCAAACGGG
Molecule: ribosomal RNA, 253 nt
Filed under: uncultured bacterium
Lineage: Bacteria
Description: partial 16S ribosomal RNA
Rfam family: Bacterial small subunit ribosomal RNA
Source: RNAcentral